UACGUAGGGUGCAAGCGUUAAUCGGAAUUACUGGGCGUAAAGCGUGCGCAGGCGGUUAUGCAAGACAGAUGUGAAAUCCCCGGGCUCAACCUGGGAACUGCAUUUGUGACUGCAUGGCUGGAGUGCGGCAGAGGGGGGUAGAAUUCCACGUGUAGCAGUGAAAUGCGUAGAGAUGUGGAGGAAUACCGAUGGCGAAGGCAGCCCCCUGGGAUAACACUGACGCUCAUGCACGAAAGCGUGGGGAGCAAACAGG
This 253-nucleotide ribosomal RNA is filed under the name uncultured bacterium. RNAcentral's name for it is "partial 16S ribosomal RNA". It matches the Rfam family "Bacterial small subunit ribosomal RNA", at positions 524 to 776 of the family's 1533-position model. The record is from RNAcentral.